CUGAAAAUAAAGGUUUUAUAGGUACUCAAAGUAUGGCUUUUACUGAGUGUGCAUUGAUUUUGUACCGUUAUAAAAUCAAAAAUUAAAAGUGAACCAUUGUAAGUCAGGGAUGUGUGUAUGUGUGUACGAUCCAACCACAGAGUGUGCUCUGAUUACAUUGUGGUAACGAUGUAUACAUAUGACCUGUUCUUUCUUCCCAGGUUGGUCCUGCACUUUGGUGGUGGUGGCUUCCUGGCAUUUUAUAAUUGUCAGAUGUCUUGGAGCUCUUCCCCAGUGGUCACACCCACCUGUGACAUCCUGUCUGAGAAGUUCCAUCGAGGACAAGCCCUAGAAGCUCUAGGCCAGGCUCAGCCUGUCUGCUAUACACUGCUGGACCAGAGAUACUUCUCAGGGCUAGGGAACAUCAUUAAGAAUGAAGCCUUGUACAGAGCUGGGAUCCAUCCCCUUUCUCUUGGUUCAGUCCUGAGUGCCUCGCGUCGGGAGGUCCUGGUGGAUCACGUGGUGGAGUUCAGUACAGCCUGGCUGCAGGGCAAGUUCCAAGGCAGACCGCAGCGCACACAGGUCUACCAGAGAGAACAGUGCCCUGCUGGCCACCAGGUUAUGAAGGAGGCGUUUGGGCCCCAAGAUGGGUUACAGAGGCUCACCUGGUGGUGCCCACAGUGCCAGCCCCAGUUGUCAGAGGAGCCAGAGCAGUGCCAGUUUUCCUAAGGAGCUGGUGGUGCUCUUCAUGGAACCUUGCCCCUUGGGGAACGUGACGUCUAAGUGUCCAGAAAGGAGGAUGUGGGCAGGGACGGGGUACAGAGGAUAUAGUGUGGGUCAGAGGUGCCAGUAUUACAAUAUUCAUCUCCCUGGAGUUAUAUUGAAGGCAGAGUUUUCAUAGGGUUAGAUUUUUUUUUAUCCUUUUCUAGUUCAGUUAAUUCAUCCUAUGGAAUUGCACCAUAGUGAAAGAUGAGAAAAAUCGUGAUAAUGGGUAAGGGGAAAACUUCCCGGAAGGCAAUGGGGCGAGGAAAAAGAAAGCCUAUGGGAAAUGGCUGUGCUCCCAACAUGGCUUUGCGGAUGAUGUGGGGUUUUUUUUUUUGGUUUUUGUUU
This 1089-nucleotide small RNA is filed under the name Pongo abelii (Sumatran orangutan). RNAcentral describes it as "retained intron". Lineage: Eukaryota; Metazoa; Chordata; Mammalia; Primates; Hominidae. The record is from RNAcentral.